This 494-nucleotide ribosomal RNA is filed under the name uncultured bacterium. RNAcentral describes it as "partial 16S ribosomal RNA". It matches the Rfam family "Bacterial small subunit ribosomal RNA", at positions 28 to 507 of the family's 1533-position model. The record is from RNAcentral.
GACGAACGCUGGCGGCGUGCUUAACACAUGCAAGUCGAACGGAAAGGCCUGCUUUCCCUUGUGGAUUGCGGGUACUCGCGUGGCGAACGGGUGAGUAACACGUGAGUGAUCUGCCCCCAACUUUUGUAUAAGCCUGGGAUACUGGGUCUAAUUCCCGAUAGCACUGCAGUGUGGUUCCUGUGGUUGAAAACGAUUUUCUAGUGGUUGGGGAUGAGCUCGCGGCCUAUCAGCUUGUUGGUGGGGUAAUGGCCGACCAAUGCGGCGACGGGAAGCCGGCCUGGGAGGGUGGACGGGCGCAUUGGGACUGAGAUACGGCCAAGACGACUACGGGAGGAAGCAGUGGGGAAGAUUGCACAAGGGGCGGAAGCCUGAUGGAGCGACGCUGAGUGGGGGAUGACGGCCUUGGGGUUGUAAACUCCUGUCGACCGAGAGGAAGCCACCUGGUUGGAAGGGUGGUGACGGUAGUGGUAGAAGAAGCACCGGCUAACUACGUG